UACGUAGGGGGCAAGCGUUACUCGGAUUUAUUGGGCGUAAAGAGAAUUAAGGCGGUCAUGUAAGUCAGUGGUGAAAUCCCCCGGCUCAACUGGGGAAUUGCCUUUGAUACUGCGUGACUUGAGGACAGGAGAGGAAGGCGGAAUUCCCGGUGUAGCGGUGGAAUGCGUAGAUAUCGGGAGGAACACCUGAGGCGAAGGCGGCUUUCUGGACUGGUCCUGACGCUGAUAUUCGAAAGCUAGGGGAGCAAACAGGAUUAGAAACCCUCGUAGUCC
RNAcentral lists this ribosomal RNA (273 nucleotides) under uncultured prokaryote. RNAcentral describes it as "partial 16S ribosomal RNA". It matches the Rfam family "Bacterial small subunit ribosomal RNA", at positions 524 to 796 of the family's 1533-position model. The record is from RNAcentral.